Molecule: ribosomal RNA, 182 nt
Filed under: Methylorubrum rhodesianum
Lineage: Bacteria; Pseudomonadati; Pseudomonadota; Alphaproteobacteria; Hyphomicrobiales; Methylobacteriaceae
Description: partial 16S ribosomal RNA
Rfam family: Bacterial small subunit ribosomal RNA
Source: RNAcentral
CACGGUGAAUACGUUCCCGGGCCUUGUACACACCGCCCGUCACACCAUGGGAGUUGGUCUUACCCGACGGCGCUGCGCCAACCGCAAGGAGGCAGGCGACCACGGUAGGGUCAGCGACUGGGGUGAAGUCGUAACAAGGUAGCCGUAGGGGAACCUGCGGCUGGAUCACCUCCUUUCUAAGG